This 242-nucleotide long non-coding RNA is filed under the name Glycine max (soybean). RNAcentral's name for it is "long non-coding RNA (GMAX_LNC003328)". Lineage: Eukaryota; Viridiplantae; Streptophyta; Magnoliopsida; Fabales; Fabaceae. The record is from RNAcentral.
GUUGCCAUUAGUUUCUGCUAUGCCAGUGGGUAACCGUAAAUGAAACGGGCUUCUGAAAAAUCCGGUAAGGGAAAGGGGUCAGAGUCAACGUGGCGGUGGGUUAGGUUCGUCCAGAGGCCAAGCCGUAGCUGCUGAAGAUAACGUGAAAAACACCGAGUUCCUUGGCCACGCUGGCUGUCCAUCCGAAGAUGUCGGCUAUGAUGCAAAGUUGUUGCUGAUGGACGAUGGUGUUUUGUUUGGAU